AAAAGGAGAGAUCCGGCAUAGGAUGGACAUGCGUCGCAUUAGGUAGACGGCGGGGUAACGGCCCACCGUGCCGACGAUGCGUAGGGGUUCUGAGAGGAAGGCCCCCCACACUGGUACUGAGACACGGACCAGACUCCUACGGGAGGCAGCAGUGAGGAAUAUUGGUCAAUGGCCGAGAGGCUGAACCAGCCAAGUCGCGUGAGGGAAGAAUGUCCUAAGGAUUGUAAACCUCUUUUGUCGGGGAGCAAAAAGGCUCUGCGGAGUCGUAUUGAGAGUACCCGAAGAAAAAGCAUCGGCUAACUCCGUGCCAGCAGCCGCGGUAAUACGGAGGAUGCGAGCGUUAUCCGGAUUUAUUGGGUUUAAAGGGUGCGCAGGCGGCGUGUCAAGCAAGCGGUAAAAUAGCGGGGCUCAACCCCGUCGAGCCGUUUGAACUGGCGCGCUUGAGUUCAGGCGAGGUAGGCGGAAUUCGUGGUGUAGCGGUGAAAUGCAUAGAUAUCACGAAGAACUCCGAUUGCGAAGGCAGCUUACCAGUCUGCGACUGACGCUCAGGCACGAAAGUGUGGGUAUCGAACAGGAUUAGAUACCCUGGUAGUCCACACAGUAAACGAUGAGCGCUAGGUGUCCGGGUCGCAUGAGACUUGG
This 642-nucleotide ribosomal RNA is filed under the name uncultured bacterium. RNAcentral describes it as "bacterial SSU rRNA". It matches the Rfam family "Bacterial small subunit ribosomal RNA", at positions 202 to 842 of the family's 1533-position model. The record is from RNAcentral.